UCCUGACUCUUCGAUUGGAUCGAGAGAGCUCUCUUCCCCACACGGCCUCCUGGUCUCCACCAUGAGUGGCCGCCUAAUUUGCCUCGGUCGAACUGCCCAGCGAAGUCCUCCUGCUCUCCUCCUCUCGCCGGCGCCGCUAAAGUGAACCAGCCCGCGACCGGAGCUCCAGAGUUUCCAGCCCUCUAUCCCCUCCCAUCUCUCCCUUCCCUUCUCCAUCGCCGACACUCGCCACCCAUGGACGCCUCAACGCCUCUCUAUCCUCAUACGUGACCACCACUUCAGAGGGGGGCAUAGCCGAGGGGUGAUCUGCACUCCUCUCCAAUGACUCCGCCACAGCCAAAUCCGGUUUUAUGAACAGCGGCGCAUCGACCAUCCCGUCGGGUGUGUGGCUAGAGGGCAUCCAACUGGUGUCCUUGAGGUGCAGCGCGGGUAGAAGGUGGGGAUUGUGGGCGUCAACGGCGCCGGCAAAACCACACAUCUCCACACCAUCGCCGGCAUCGAGGAGCUCGACGGCCGCAACGUCGUAAAGGCCAACGAUAGCCUGAAGUUUGCCUUCCUCAGCCAUAAAUUCGAGGUCUGCGCCGCCCGGACAGUAGGGUGGAGUUUCUCAGCUCCUUCCAGGAGGAGAUGCCCGUGAAGGACUGCCUCAACCUGCUCCAGGGCCCUCUAGCGCGCCACCGAGGAUAUGGGCCUCAUGGGGUCAUGGGAUUUGCAGCUCACCAUCAUCGACAAGAGAGACUAGCUCAGACUAUUGGUGCUCUGUGUUGUUGAAUUCUAUGCAAGGUGACCACCCAAUUGUCUGGCAGUAGUGAAUGCUUCAUAAGUGUGAGCAUAAGCCCUCCUUAUGUAGCAACCAGUGAAAAGAUUGUAUUCACCAGGUUGUUCAUGGAAGAAACAAAAUGAAGCUCUACUUAAUUUAGUGAUUUGGUUUUGGUUCUUCGGGAUUAGUGUACUUUAAAUUUCAGAUUUCCUAAUUCAACAGGCUUAGCUAUGAAAACCCAGCAAUACUAUCCCGUUUCAGGUUUGCAGUUUGUCAAUACACAUUCUUUCUUUUAUUUAGCGUUUAUUAUUCAAUCCAUAACUACAGUUCUGAUUUUCCCAGUAAAAGUGUUUCAACAUCUCCACUCCCGUGGCUAAAUUGGUCAAAGAUUUUCAAUACUAGGUGAGUGCAGAUAGUACAGCGGUAACUAACAGUACCAUGGGCAGAGAGUUUUGUUGCUAAGGUACACAUGUUGAUUUCAGCUGCAUGCCACAUGAGUCCUUAAACGUCUAGAGGAGAUUGUUGAGUGAUUUUCUCUGCCAAUAAUGUUCAUUUAUAAUGUUUGGACAACAUGGUAUUUUAUAUCGCUUCUAUGAAAUACUCCACCCACAUUGUGCCAUUGUUCUAUUUGUCACACUCAUCACCCAUGGUGUUCUAUUUUUAGUUUCAUGCCAAGGUGAUGAGGACGCACUAUACCAUAUUCUCGGAAUCAUGGAUAAGAAAGGUCAGUGAGAAAAAAUGCCAUGUAAAAAACAUAUGUGAUGGAUAUAUAAAACGAGAAGAGGCAUUAUAUUUGAAAUAGCGUGGGCUGUGUCAUCGUCAGUAAACCUGAGGUGUUGCACUGAGCUACAAAGCAUGUUGUUUCACUGGCGAGUUUCCAAAUUUUCACAUGGUGGAUUCUAGAUUACUCUGCGGUAUGCGUUUACGGAUUCCCUAGCUUUUUCCUCCAUAAACAUUAGGUGAGUAUAUAUAUUUAAGUAUGUGGUUAGAUAACUUUGUAUGACUAUUGUGUGCCUCUCUUGACUUACUGGGAGAGCAAGCUGCUACAUUUAAUGGCUGGAGCAAUUUUUGUUGGCGCAUUGUUUCAGACAUACACUCUUCCAUUUUUCUGAGUUACGCGUUGGCUAGAUAUCACUAGAGUAACUUUAUGUUCAGCUGCAUGCUUAACAUUUCUGUAGUAUUUUCAUUCUUCUAAGUCGUGUUGACUAGGUUUCUAACUAAUUGGUGUCGGUAAUAAUGCUUUCGGACAUCCCUUAGUACUAGACUCGAAAAUUUAGUUUUCGUUAUGUACCUCUCUUCUUAUAAUUAUUGCAGAUUUUUUUAGUCCAAGAAGCAUUGAAAUCUUACUUCUAUCCUAGGGGAACAGAAUAGAAGGAUGCGCGCCAGCUAAUUGUAUAGUCCAAUUCAAGCCACCGCUAAAAGAAGGGGAACAGAAUGGAAGGAUGUGUGCCAGCUAAUUGUAUAGACCAAUUCAAGCCACAGCUAAAAAGAGGUUCAGUUUACACCUUAGAAACGUUCAUCUUUGCUGAUGCGUGGAAAAAUGCUGAGGAAGACAGAGGAGAAGCAUUAGCGAGAUUAACUGGUGUCGUUUUUCGUUGUUCUUUCUUUCAGAUUUAGCUUUCUACUAGAAGCACCAUUCUUCCGUUGGAGUUCCUCACAUCACUAGGCUUAUGGUAGCUGAUACUGAAGUUCACAUACCGCUGGUCAUCCUCACUGAGCUCACUUAAGUUCAUAUAUCUUAGAGUUUGGUAUUUGCUGAAACAUAUACAGUGCUUGGUGAGGUAUAGGUGUGUUAAUUUGCAUGUGCGAUUUUCUUUUUUUCCUCUUGCACACUCAUGUGUACCAAGCCAUAAAAUUUGAAAUGGUUGGUGCUGAUGUGCAAGCACUAUCCGCGGUUUUCGCUGAAGUAUGUUGUAACUAUGCGUUUUGUAUUUGUAAAUGCUGUCGAAGUGUUUGAAAUUCAGUAUUCCAGUUAGCCACGGCAGUUUCUGUCAGUUAAGUAGUAUU
Molecule: non-coding RNA, 2767 nt
Organism: Lolium perenne
Lineage: Eukaryota; Viridiplantae; Streptophyta; Magnoliopsida; Poales; Poaceae
Source: RefSeq, a predicted model, not a curated record